GAUGAACGCUAGCGGCAGGCUUAACACAUGCAAGUCGAGGGGUAGUUGUCUUCGGAUAAUGAGACCGGCGCACGGGUGCGUAACGCUUAUACAAUCUACCUUUUACAGAGGGAUAGCCCAGAGAAAUUUGGAUUAAUACCUCAUAGUAUUUUUGAAUGGCAUCAUUUGAUUAUUAAAGUUCCAACGGUAAAAGAUGAGUAUGCGUCCCAUUAGCUAGAUGGUAAGGUAACGGCUUACCAUGGCGACGAUGGGUAGGGGUCCUGAGAGGGAGAGCCCCCACACUGGUACUGAGACACGGACCAGACU
Molecule: ribosomal RNA, 306 nt
Filed under: uncultured bacterium
Lineage: Bacteria
Description: bacterial SSU rRNA
Rfam family: Bacterial small subunit ribosomal RNA
Source: RNAcentral